RNAcentral lists this ribosomal RNA (404 nucleotides) under Fusobacteriota bacterium. Its description in RNAcentral is "Fusobacteria bacterium partial 16S ribosomal RNA". It matches the Rfam family "Bacterial small subunit ribosomal RNA", at positions 355 to 776 of the family's 1533-position model. The record is from RNAcentral. Lineage: Bacteria; Fusobacteriati; Fusobacteriota.
UGGGGAAUAUUGCACAAUGGAGGGAACUCUGAUGCAGCGACGCCGCGUGAGUGAUGAAGGAAUUCGUUUCGUAAAACUCUGUUCUAUGGGAAGAAAAGGACUGUACCAUAGGAGAAAGCUCCGGCUAAAUACGUGUCAGCAGCCGCGGUAAUACGUAUGGAGCGAGCGUUGUCCGGAAUUAUUGGGCGUAAAGGGUGCGCAGGCGGCUUUACAAGUUGGAUGUGAAAUAUUGUGGCUCAACCACAAACGUGCAUCCAAAACUGCAAAGCUUGAGUUAAGGAGAGGUAAGUGGAAUUCCUGGUGUAGCGGUGGAAUGCGUAGAUAUCAGGAGGAAUACCGGUGGCGAAGGCGACUUACUGGACUUAAACUGACGCUCAGGCACGAAAGCGUGGGGAGCAAACAGG